Molecule: ribosomal RNA, 254 nt
Filed under: uncultured bacterium
Lineage: Bacteria
Description: partial 16S ribosomal RNA
Rfam family: Bacterial small subunit ribosomal RNA
Source: RNAcentral
UACGGGGGGAGCAAGCGUUGUUCGGAUUUACUGGGCGUAAAGGGCGCGUAGGCGGCCACCGCAAGUCAGUUGUGAAAUCUCCGAGCUUAACUCGGAAAGGUCAACUGAUACUGCGGGGCUAGAGUGCGGAAGGGGCAACUGGAAUUCUUGGUGUAGCGGUGAAAUGCGUAGAUAUCAAGAGGAACACCUGCGGCGAAGGCGGGUUGCUGGGCCGACACUGACGCUGAGGCGCGAAAGCUAGGGGAGCAAACAGG